GUUCCAAGUUGGCAAUCAAUCGUUAGAACUGAAGCCACCACACCAAUAAAUGCACGAUCACCAAGGGUCUAUUCAAUGAUUCCAUCUGAUGACGCGACAGCGAUGGACGCAACGGAGUCAGAUUCAUCCAUGCCAGCUGACGAUACCAAAGCAUUGGACGCAACAGCACCAAGGGGCAGUUCAAUGAUUCCACCUGAUGGCGCGACAGCAAUGGACGCAACGG
Ixodes scapularis (black-legged tick) is the source of this 223-nucleotide long non-coding RNA. RefSeq lists it as uncharacterized. Lineage: Eukaryota; Metazoa; Arthropoda; Arachnida; Ixodida; Ixodidae. The transcript has 4 exons. The record is from RefSeq and is a predicted model, not a curated record.